RNAcentral lists this long non-coding RNA (392 nucleotides) under Naja naja (Indian cobra). RNAcentral's name for it is "lncRNA (ENSNNAG00000015498.1)". Lineage: Eukaryota; Metazoa; Chordata; Lepidosauria; Squamata; Elapidae. The record is from RNAcentral.
UACACUUUUAUAAUUACAAUAUAUUCUUAUUACCAUUUCUUCAUGCAGAACCCACUACUCAGCAAUUGUAUGUGGUCUAAAAGGCAGCUGUGUAGUUGCCGAUGGUCAGUUCCAGUUCAGAGGAAUCACGUCCGUCUUGCAGGAACUUCAUUGGUUGCCAGACAUGAUUUUUUCAAGGGGGAACACCUGUCAGCUUUGGAAGCCAUAUUGACACCAGAUGCUUUCAUACUGCCACAUUCUUGAGCCUGGGAAAAUGGGAAGGGGGAUUUCUUGGAGUGUAUGUAUAAUAGCAUUCUUCUUCUAAGUCAAGGUCAUGUUAUUCUGCACCUGGGUGAGGGGAUGUCUCAAGUUGGGACGGAUGGUGAUUGGGGCAUGUGAUGCGAUGAUGGGUG